CUACCCUUGACAUCGAGAGAACUUUCCAGAGAUGGAUUGGUGCCUUCGGGAACUCUCAGACAGGUGCUGCAUGGCUGUCGUCAGCUCGUGUUGUGAAAUGUUGGGUUAAGUCCCGUAACGAGCGCAACCCUUGUCCCUAUUUGCCAGCGAUUCGGUCGGGAACUCUAGGGAGACUGCCGGUGACAAACCGGAGGAAGGUGGGGACGACGUCAAGUCAUCAUGGCCCUUACGGGUAGGGCUACACACGUGCUACAAUGGCCGGUACAAUGGGUUGCGAAUCCGCGAGGUGGAGCUAAUCCCAUAAAGCCGGUCUCAGUCCGGAUCGGAGUCUGCAACUCGACUCCGUGAAGUCGGAAUCGCUAGUAAUCGUGAAUCAGAAUGUCACGGUGAAUACGUUCCC
This 400-nucleotide ribosomal RNA is filed under the name uncultured bacterium. RNAcentral's name for it is "bacterial SSU rRNA". It matches the Rfam family "Bacterial small subunit ribosomal RNA", at positions 975 to 1375 of the family's 1533-position model. The record is from RNAcentral.